UACGUAGGCAGCGAGCGUUGUUCGGAGUUACUGGGCGUAAAGGGUGUGUAGGCGGUUAUUUAAGUUUGGUGUGAAAUCUCCCGGCUCAACCGGGAGGGUGCGCCGAAUACUGAAUGACUUGGAGUGCGGGAGAGGUGAGUGGAAUUCCUGGUGUAGCGGUGAAAUGCGUAGAUAUCAGGAAGAACACCAAUGGCGAAGGCAGCUCUCUGGGACGGUACUGACGCUGAGACGCGAAAGCGUGGGGAGCGAACAGG
This 254-nucleotide ribosomal RNA is filed under the name uncultured bacterium. RNAcentral describes it as "partial 16S ribosomal RNA". It matches the Rfam family "Bacterial small subunit ribosomal RNA", at positions 524 to 776 of the family's 1533-position model. The record is from RNAcentral.